Molecule: small nuclear RNA, 104 nt
Organism: Gorilla gorilla gorilla (western lowland gorilla)
Lineage: Eukaryota; Metazoa; Chordata; Mammalia; Primates; Hominidae
Source: Ensembl
GUGCUCGCUUCGGUAGGACAUAUACUAAAAUUGGAACAAUACAGAGAUUAGCAUGGCCCCUGCACAAGGAUGACACACAAAUUCGUGAAGUGUUCCAUAUUUUU